CUGGGGGGGAGGGGAGUUCCAAAUCCUAACAGUAUGUAAGAAGAGAUCACAUUAUAACAAAAUUGAAAUGAAUGAAUCAAAUUAUUUAAAUUGGAGAUGAAAGUGACACUUCACUUAACAUAGUAUAUCCUAAAAAGUCAUAGAAUGGCCUCAACUGCAAUUUUUGUUUGACAAUGUGUAGGUCCACUAGCUUUCAACAUAACAGAGUAUGAGGGAGGUACGCCCACAUUGGAAUAUUACCCAUACUCAUGGACUCAGACUUCAAGCAUACUAUUUCUUGAUGCGCCAGUGGGCACAGGUUUCUCUUACGCUACAAAUUUGAGUGCAUAUUCUACCUCCGACACGAAAUCAGCUUCAUAGACAUAUGCCUUCCUUGUUAAGUGGCUGAUUGAUCACCCAAAAUACCUCAAAAAUCAGUUGUUCAUUGGGGCUGAUUCUUAUUCAGGCAUAACUGCUCCAAUAGUAGUUCAACAUAUAUUAGAGGGAAAUGCUGUUGGGGAGAGGCCACGCUUGAAUCUCAAAGGCUAUAUUCUUGGGUGCCCGCGAACAGAUGUAAUUAUUAAUGAAAAUUCAAAAAUAUCAUACUCUCACCGGAUGGGACUUAUAUCUGAUAAACUUUAUGAGGUGA
Non-coding RNA from Camellia sinensis, 628 nucleotides. The record is from RefSeq and is a predicted model, not a curated record. NCBI's taxonomy places the organism in Eukaryota, Viridiplantae, Streptophyta, Magnoliopsida, Ericales, Theaceae.